ACACUUUAUUAUACUUCCUGUAAGAUAUGUGAAACACGAACUCCAACCAUGUUUCAUCAACAAAAUGCUCUCAAUCCCAUAUAAAAGAAUUUAUAUUUCAACAAACGUAUCUCAAGCCGUACAAUGCCAUCUACCCCACCAACAACCUUCUUCUUCUUCUUCUUCUACUACUACUACUACUACUACUAGUGUAUCCCUUCUUCUUUUUGAUUUCUCAGCAAACUUGUGUGACACUCUCUUAGCUCUCAGCUUUCAGGAACUCACCCGUUACUACCCUGUACAAUCACACCACAUCAAAACUUGAAUUCUCUUCUUUUUAUAUUAUUACAUUCUACUUCCCCCUCAAUUUACAAAAGAAAUUUUUUUUAAGCAACUACAAAUCACAGCCAGUUCUAUUUCUGUAUCAAAAUCUUCCUUGCAUUGAUCAUAUAUGUUAGUCAAAGAAACACUUUAUUGUGUUGGCCGGUGAUGGACACUGAAAGAGGAACUUCAUUUUGUCAAUAAUUGUGGCUUUGUGGCUUUCACAUAUCCAAUCUUCUCCUAUAAAUAAUAAACGUAAGGAGAAGAGGAAAGGCAUCCCAAAACAAGAAAACAGAGAGAGAACGAGAGAAGAGAAGAGAAGAGAAGAAGAAGAAAAAAAAAAGUUUUUUUUCCUCACAAAAAAUCUUCUUUAAGAAAUUACGAGUAAUUUCUGAGUGUAUUUGGGAUCGGGGUGUGAGUUAUGAGCUUGUAAAAUUUCCCUGGUUGAUUUGUUAAUGGACAAGAGGUGGAGAUUAACCAAUGAGCAAGGAACCUUCUUCUCUCUCUCCGCUGACUAUAAAUUUCUUUAUCGUUAAACAAUCACGCGUUGCGUUAAGCAAGUUUACAAGAAUAAUAAUCUUCAAGAAGAGUGGAUUGAAUUUUAUAAAGAGUGGUUAAGACUUGACCUUUUUUACAAUUAAAGGAAGGAGGCCACUUCUUCUUCUGACUUUUUUCUUUCUUGGAAACCCUUUUUCCUCCUCCUUCGCCACCCUUUGCUCCCUCUCCUCAUUAUCGAACAUGCUCAUUGUCCCCUUUACUUGUCUUUCCAAUUACCAAACACUACAAUCACACUUUAUUAUACUUCCUGUAAGAUAUGUGAAACACGAACUCCAACCAUGUUUCAUCAACAAAAUGCUCUCAAUCCCAUAUAAAAGAAUUUAUAUUUCAACAAACGUAUCUCAAGCCGUACAAUGCCAUCUACCCCACCAACAACCUUCUUCUUCUUCUUCUUCUACUACUACUACUACUACUACUAGUGUAUCCCUUCUUCUUUUUGAUUUCUCAGCAAACUUGUGUGACACUCUCUUAGCUCUCAGCUUUCAGGAACUCACCCGUUACUACCCUGUACAAUCACACCACAUCAAAACUUGAAUUCUCUUCUUUUUAUAUUAUUACAUUCUACUUCCCCCUCAA
RNAcentral lists this long non-coding RNA (1434 nucleotides) under Brassica napus (rape). RNAcentral describes it as "long non-coding RNA (BNAP_LNC013753)". The record is from RNAcentral. Lineage: Eukaryota; Viridiplantae; Streptophyta; Magnoliopsida; Brassicales; Brassicaceae.